RNAcentral lists this long non-coding RNA (35302 nucleotides) under Triticum aestivum (bread wheat). RNAcentral's name for it is "long non-coding RNA (TAES_LNC015580)". Lineage: Eukaryota; Viridiplantae; Streptophyta; Magnoliopsida; Poales; Poaceae. The record is from RNAcentral.
AGAUAAAAAAUAAUAAUCAAGUACGCAUAAAAUUGGUAGGUUCUCAGACAAUAUAUUGACAUAUGAGAACGUACAUGACACAUAUCACUGUGGACAUUGUCUAUGGCCUUAUUACAAGCAACAAGAGAAAUUACAUAGGCGUGUGAGUGCGCGUGCGCGCGCACACACACGUGCACACAUGCAUGACAUACAUGGAUUGACUAGAGGUCGCCCCAUAUAGUCAACAAUUUAUUGGAGGUAAACAUUAGCAUAACUUGGCCAUAGAUCGAAGCAAUCCAACAUAUGCCGAUGAAUGGCAUCCAUGUUGGUAGCAAUGCAAGCAUAUCGUUUUAGUACAGUCCUUCCAUCUUCGAAGCCACUCCCAUUUCAUCCAUCUUAGCAACCACUGUGAAAUUAAGAUAUAAAACUCCCAUUAGCUCAUGAGUUAAUUUUGCUAGGGCAGGAGAGUAUAAGAGGUCUUUGUGUAGGAAGUAACAUGCUUGAAGUUGUGAGAUGGGACAUGAAGUCAACGAAGUACAUUAAUGAAAAUCGGUGGAAGGUCACAGAGAUGUAUUAGUCCACCAUACGACACAGAUCUUGUAUUUACAAAUAUCAAAGGCAUUGAUUAAAGUGAGUUUAGUGCAUUUACCAGAAUCUUCAAGAAUACAGGGAAACAACAAGUGUUCUUGCAGGCAAAGUCAGAGCCACCCGCAAAAAUACAAGUAGAACAACAUCCUUUUGCGGCUAAGCUUAUGCAGCAGCCACAGUCUGCGGUGGUCGAGUUUACGGUGAGGCUCAGGAUGAGCAGGCACAUGAUCACCUUCAAAGUGGUAGUGCUAGUGACCAUCCUCUUACCCUCCAUUUUCUCUUGUUGAUGUUGCCUGCCUUGGUUACCUAGAUAAGUUUCUUGGUUUUGUGUUGAGAGGUGCUUCUUAAAUGGAUGUUGCUUGCUGCAAUUUAUAGGCAAUUGCAUUACGUUAUGAUAUGUAUAAGGUGCGAGUGGGUGGAAAAUCAUGUCGUAUUCAAUGUGACAGUAUCGACAAUUGAUGACAUUGGUUGGUAACCCGGACAAAUUCAUUCACACGUAUCUUGCGGAGGAAAUGUUGCAUCACCUACCAUAUUCAAUAUUAGGGAGAAAGCCUGAACUACACCAAUAGUGUGCAACUAGGCACAAAAAGCUACCACAAGUAGUGGAGUUCGUAUGAUAUUAGCAAGCUAUUAACAAUAACCAUGGAGGCAAUUAACACUAGCCCGUCAAAGAUGGUGCUAGCAACUUAUGGUGUUCAAUGCAACACCAGAGCAAAUAUGUAUGGACUUUGGUUAGUAAAAUUUCAACAGGCGCUACAUAUAUAUUUUGCUAUACAAAAUUGAUUGGAAGCAAUAGAGUAGGCUAGUUCCUAGGUAGACCUUUAGCAAUGUUCAUUUUGGCCAUGGUAUCGGAGAUCAGAUUAUAAGUAUGACGUACAUGCAACUUGAUCCCUUGUCCUCAUAUUUUAAUUCCCGCAUUCACAAGUUGCACGUACUAAGCACUCCCAAUUAUUACCCUUUUCAUUAUGCAACUAUUUUUAGAAUUUAUUUAUUUUUAAUAUACAAAUGUCAUUUAACAAACAAUCUAUUUUAUUCAGCUAGCGGAGGUCGGGCAAAACCGUUUUUUAUCCAAGUCUAGAAAACCUUGUAUAUUGUUCGGGCAUACAUUUUGCAUUUCUAAGAUAGAACCCCAAGAUAUUAGGCAUUGUGUCAGUUGUAUCAAACUUAUUUCUAUAUGACAUCAAAAUGUUAGAGAUAUUGAUAUGAUGCAAUGCACCGGGAUUAUCCUUAAAAACGAAAAACAAUUAAAAGGAGGAAAACUUGUGCAAAUAGUCCUUACGUGAUAUGGUCCUCAUCAAAAUUACCAAAUUUGGAAUAUGGUGCUUCGAAAAAAGAGUGUUCUCAAAAAGAGGUAUCAUGCCUGGCUUAUCUUGGCUUUCAACCCAAAUGGCCAAGCGAUGGCCAUAUCCAUGGCAAACAUUGUUUUUCGUUUUCCCAUAUUCGGCACACACAUGCAUCUUGGAACACAAAUCCAACCAACAACCAAUGAUCGUUUCAUUUCUUAGAGGUGCGGGCGAGGACAAUUAAAAACUUGUGAAACAGGUGUACCCGAGGCUUAAUUCACUAUUCGAGUAUACAGAUUGGGUCACUCUGUGUCGAAAUCACAACAAGAAAAUGUUUUGUUGAACAUCCUCUGUUAGAUAAGACUACAAGAUGAUGGUACUUUUGGGUCCUUCACAAAACAAGAAACUAACCAAGAGAUUAGGAUGACUGAUCUGUCCCAUGUAUGUCCUGCAAAUCAGUUGUUGAUAACGUUGCCAUUAUUUAGGAAAAGUCUCCUCACCUGAAUAUAUAUAUGCCACAAACCUUUAUUUAGGAAAAGGCUCCUCACCUCAAUAUAUUUCAAAUGUUUGACAAUUUUACAGGAUCAUGCAUAUGCGCGCUCCUUGGGUGCCCCAGAUUUUAGCCUAUGUAUCCAUAUGUAAGGUAAGAUCAGUGCCAAUGUUUUCGAUGGUGUCAAGGGGAGGAUCAUCUACAACUUAGAACAUCUUGUUCAUGGCACCCCAUAUUAUCCAUACUACAUGUAGAAGAAUUAAGCAUGGGAUAAAUAUAGCCAGAGGGCAUUGCGGUUGAGAAGAGAUCACCAAUUUGGAUGGAGAGUGCGUGCCAUAUCCUUCAAGCAGCAUGACAGGUGAAGAAGAGGUGAUGUCUAUCAUGGGCAGAUGGAGCUGGUGAGGAUUCUUUAUAUUUUGUAGAUUGCAUCUUGUGUUCACUCUGUCCAGGUAGAAGAGCCAGGCGAAGAUCUGUAUUCUCUUUCAAGGUGCGGUCCUAUGGAUCCGAAAGCUGGGGUGAUAGGGCAGCAUAUGCCCCCUCUUGAUGAAAGCUGACCCAUUAAGCAACCCUCGCUCGUCAGGAUCCUACAACAGAGAGUUUAACGAGCCAAGCUCUGGCGAGGCAGUUGAGGUUAGUCGGUUACGCAAGGAAAGUUCGACCUGCAUGAUGGCAUCUUUGGUGGGAUCGGUGAGAGAAAAUGGUAGGGAAAACAUUGGCUAAUGGUUCAGGGUUGAUCCACCUGUCAAGCCAAAACAAACAAUCUCAAACAGUGGCUAAUGGUUCAGGUCUCCCAAAAAGAAUCUUUAGUUUGUUAGAUAAUAUUAUUUGCAUGGUUGUUUCCUAGUGUAUCAUAUAUGGACUCUUGGGCCGAUAGGAUCUUCUUUGUAAACGUAUGUACUUCAAAACAUGAGGAAACCAUAUCUCGUUUAGUCCUAGCCGUAAAAUUAAGAUCUGAUGGUUAUUUAUCAGCACUUGUCAAGGAUUAACGUGGAGGCUCGUAUGGUGCCUCCAAUUAAUAAAUAUAUGAUUUUGAGAUGGGCUUCUUAUAUAUUUCGCUAUAAAAAUUGAUUGGAACAAAUACGUACGCCUAGUUUGCUAGGAUAGGCCUUUAGCAAGGUUUAUCAUCUCCACUGUGUUGAAGAUUAGAUGAUAAGUAUGAACUAAAUGCAACUUGAUCCCAAGUCUUCAUAUUCCAAUCCCCAAAUUUACAACUUGCUCGUACUAUGCACAUCCUAUUAGUAACUUUUUUUGCUAGGAACACUUUUUAUAAUUUAUUUGUUUGUGAAUACACAAAUGUCAUUUUAACAGACUAUCUAUUUUUAUUCAGCUAGCAGAGGUUGGGCACAAUCAAUUUUUAUCCAAGACUAAAAAACCAUGUACAUUUUCGGGGGGCAUACAUCUUGUGUUUCUAAGAGACAACACUAAGAUAUUAUGCAUUGUGCCUCUUGUAUCAAACUUGUUUUUGUAUGUCAUAGAAAUAAUAGAGAUAGUGAUAUGAUUCACUGCACAUGGAUUAUCCUAAAAUAGAGAAACAAUUUAAAAACGGGAAACUUGCACAAAGAGUCCUUUUACGUGAUAUGGUUUCCAUAAAAAAUACCAAAAUUGAAAUAUGACGCUUUGAAAAAAAAGUGUUCUCGGAAAGAGGUAUCAUGUAUGCUUAUCUUGGCUUUCAACCCAAAAUACCAAGGCGAUAGUCAUAUCCAUGGGAAACAUGGUGGUAUUUUGCCCAUAUUCGGCACACAUGUGCAUCUUGGCAUGGCUUUACAAUGACACCUUAUUCACGUUGAUAAGAGCCUGUAUGCAAUAGCUACGACUCUCCUAAAACAUUGUCGACCGAUGAAAUCUCUGGACCAAAAGUUGGGCAGAAAACGCCAGACCAGUGAAUGGGGUGCCAAAACAUGGAAAAGGGCGGGGAAUUGCCAAAAUUCUACCGUUGGUUGUAGCCUCACUGAAACCGACAUGUAAUUUGACCGUCGAAUAUUCAGACAACCUGGAACCCUAGCAUGCUACCAGGGCACCGACAUAAUGCAUGUAUUCUGUGCAUGCGGUACUGGCGCCCCCGCGACCAGAGGAAGGAAUAAACACCUAGACGGUACGCUAGUGCCUAAAUUUGGGCGGGAGAACACCAGAGUGGUGAGUUGGCCACCAAAAGAUGAAAAAGGGCUAGUCUUUGGCAGGUAUAAACAAGGGGGGAGGGGGGCUGGUAUUUCGGGUGCCAGAUCUUGUGAAGGUAAACAAGGAGAGAGACAUAAGAUGGAUACAAGCUGCUCCUCUGCCUUUGUUUGACUUGACUCAGCUGAAACAUAAUGUCGUUUCCAAAGAAACUUCAAUUACUGUUGAGAAGAGACAAAACCAAAUACUGCCAUUACACAAUAUAUAUCCGUCGUAAGAUAUUGAUUAAGCUAACCAAGCUGGACAUUGCCUACAGUACACCUAGAUAACUUAAUUUAUGCUAGCGACCGUGACGGCGAUCACCAAUUGAUUGUAUUUAGUGACUAAUAACCUGCCAUUGGUAUAUUUCAAAUUUUAUAUAUCAUUUGAUCCUCACCAUCGUCGGACAUGAUCGAGUCACAUAGAUAGGUACAAGUAGCUGUUCUGAGAAUAAGAAGAAAAAAUCGAUGCACUGACAAUCUCCAAUGUGUGUCCAUCUCAACCAUUUUAAAUUAAUUAGUACAAGUCCAAAUUAUCUGCUCUCCGGUAGAAACUAAAUUAGUCACGUUUGUUACGCUAGAGUUUGGUGCCAACGAACAAACCUAGCAAAUCAAUUGCACGUGGUCUCCUUAAACUACAAACAACGACAAUGAUGGAGGAGCCACUAAAUAGAAGGCCGGGCAGCGAUAGAAUGUACUUACUCAAUGGUUGCUAAUUUUUGUUGGUAAAUUGCGAGCGUUCUCCAGGGACGAACUCAAGAAGCAGUUUUUCUUGAUGAACGGACAAUAAGCUCCACCAUGCAAAAAUAUAAGGUUUCAGUUUGAGGAUCCAACAAUAGUUCAUCAUGGAGCCUGAUGCACCAAGGUCAUAAUGCUGGUCUGGUGUGCAAAAUCCAAAGUAUGCAUCAGUUCUGCUCUCACACAUUGCGGAUCGUUCGAAUAUGCCAUCCAGAUCUUGUCUGUCCUGGAUAUACUUUUUGCUCGGAAUUAUAAAACUGUUCCUUUAUAAACUACUUACAGAAGCAUGAUUGUGGCUGUUGAACAUUUACUUUCCUUGAGUCGAAAAGACGCGCUAAUUUAGGGAAGCAGCAUGUGGGCACUGGAUAUCAUGUGCAUGCAUGUUCUUAACCCCCAAGCCACAUAGAUUAUUUGGCCCCAGAGCAAACCGCUUGGUUUGACCAGAAAAAAGACCUUCUACCCUUAUCCAUAGCAUAUGAAUGGAGAAGCAGAGCAUGAGCAGUGGGCAAACUAUCUAUCCUCUGAGAUGGACCAAGGAUAGAUAGUCGUUAGUGGCUCUAUAAAGAGGCCGGAUUCUGUCACACACAUAAGGGCUAAUUUUGCAGCAAGGUAAACGAAACCAGGGUAGCAAACCUUCGGGAGAUUAUACGCUAUUACUCACCUUCGGGAGAUUAUACGUUUCAAUCACUAUAUAUAUGACGUGCAAAAUGCAGCACACAUCCAUCACCAUCAGUUGAACCCGUGUCACACAAACUCCAAAGUCCAUACUUCUCUAGGUGUCAUCUCACUAUGCUGGAUACCUCUCCAAGUCUAUAUGUGAUGGACGGACGGACCAAGGCUCACUGGGCUUAAACACCUCCGGAAUGACAACCUCUACUACAACUCAACUCUGGAUUUUCGUACCUGUGCGUUUCACCAAACCAGUUGAUUAUCACCCCACUCUGCUCUUCUCUUCUCCAUGUAGAGUAGACCAGAGUAGGGACAACGAACACAUCAAUUACCAUCACAUACUAAAGUAUAUUCUAACAGCUGCUACAACUGAAUCAAUUAAUCAUGCCAAACACCCGUGCAUACCCACUCACUGCCAUUAUGUCCCGAAAUUGUCCAGCCUAGAACACACAAAUAAAAUAGAAUAGUCUCUAGUCUCCAUGCACUUUCACUGUUUGAUUGAUCACAAAAACUUACCUCAACAGUAAGAAAAUACACAAAUUUUGUUUUUCUCUGAUAUAUGAGAUCACAGAUUUUAGCCUUUUGGUGGUUCUAUUGACAUCAAUUGCAUGUACUAUAUUCACGGAUGCAAUUUUCUAACAAACCUUGCUAGCUAAUCUCCCUCGCACCUGCUCACAUCAAGAUUUAAACUGGAUGAGAUAAUGUAUAUGACUAUGUCUGACAUCAAGUUUAAGCGUUUAUGGUUCACGUUUUACAUCAAGUAUAUCGUAGUGUAGAGUAGCAAACUUAAUUCUCGAAAUCACCCAUACCAACGAAUGAAUGAAGAACCAAAGAGAUAAUUACAUCAGAGCUAGUCACUCCAUAGGCAAUAUCAGCAUAUUGUUAAUUGUUAAUGUGUAUAUCGAUCAAGUUUGUUUCUUUUCAAGUAAUCUAACACAUUCACCAAGGGAUUAAAUUGUAACUGAAUAGUACCAUUAGAAGUACAAAUAAGUUAACUAUUUGACAUUUGAUUUUCCACUAUUACUAAUUUUAUUUUUUAUUUUUUAUAUUCAAAUCUUCCGAGGUUUGUGUACAUUUUGUGUUGUUUAAGCCUGUCGGUCGACUGUAGAGUAGCCGCGCACCUCAUUCUUAUCCAUCUAAUCACAUGCACUAUGGUCUUCGCGUGGCAUUAAUUAAUUCCAUUGAUCAGUGAUAUAUUAUGUAGCUUGCUAGUUAAUAAUUAAUUAAUUAGCAGUUGAUGCAACUGCUCCAUUAUUAACAAUAAAAAGGCAUCCUCGUUUAGCUCGCAGGUCUUGUAUGAAUGCAUAAUCAUUUGCAUAAUAAUUAGGUAAGGCCGCUAGUUGGUGAGAAAUGCAUUGUACUUUCCUUGAGAUUAUCUGUCGACACCAAGCUGGUCAAUGGCGUGCAAUUUGAGAGCACUACCCUAUUCUCUGGGUUGUUAUAAAAAAAUUAAGGCAAAGGGACUCUGUACCCGUUGUAUCGAAUUGACAUGUACCUAGGAUAAAACUAAAUUAAUUGAUUCAUAAUCUAGUACAACAAAGGUGAAAUAAUUUAAAAAUCACUCCCUAAAAAAAGUAUAAGAAUGUGGCAAUCGCUCCCUAAAAACGGAAUGUAACAAUCACUCGUGGAAGGGGAAACGGCAAGACACCGCAAUGUCACUCGAACACUUUGACGUGUAGUACUGGGUAUGGGGAGAUUAUGUUGGGAUAAGAUAGUGGAUUGCCGGAGCCGGAGACCUCACCGGAGAGUUGGAAUUCCCCAUGUGGAUUCUGCUGUUGGCGAAAAAGCUGGUAAAGUGAAUGAGAGGACGGUGGCGAACGGACACUGCACAUUCACCGGAUCUGGGCAAGGAAAGGGCACAAAUGAACAACACCUUCUUUUUCUGUUUUUUAAACGCCAAAAAGGUGCAGGUGUGUUAUGAAUCAAACUAGUGACCUCCUGCUUCAACGUAAGCUGCAGUAACCACUUACUUUUUUUCUUCAUAUUUUCUUCUUUCUACUUUUCUUUUUUCUUGUUUCUGGUUCGUUGAGGUUUUUUCCAAUUUUGUGAACUAUUUUUUUCAAAAUCAAUGAACUUUUUUCAAUUUGUAUACUUUUUUUUUUCUGAAAUUGACAAAAAAUUGUAAUCAAUUGGUUUACUUUUUUUUCCAAAUUUUGUGAUACUUAAGAAAAGUCAACUAGUCAGUCAGUGAACCGAUCAACUGGCACCAGUCAACCAGUGAGAGAUCUGAAGCGUAGGGAACACUCAACCCGGUUGCAUUUUGCUGCGCUGCAGCGAGAUGACAUUUUCAGCCGCAACCCAUGAAUGAAGGUAGUGAGCGCCAGGGAUUCUUUUCGCUGCUUGAAGCGCCGAAUAGGAGCUCCCAUGAGUUAGAUAGCUUUUGGGUGCAAAUUCAGUUUGCAGAUCAACGAGGCCACAAGCUUUCCGGUUGUUUUUUCCUUAAUCCAGUUCCAUCUAUGUAAAACUGCGAACGACGGAUCAUCCAUCUUGAACGGAUCAACAUGCACAUGGUCAGCUCGAUCGUUACGCCAAAUGAAUACAAAUUAUGCACACACAAUCCGACGCGGCGAGUGAGAGCGACUUUGUUGAGAGGACCAAACUACCAUUAUUUUAUCUCAUUCUUCGUAUGAUAUUAAAACCGGCUAUUAGCUGUUUGUCUCUUGUAGACAUAUUUAAUCAGCUAUGUCAUACAAUACAAAUUAGGUGUUCCAUCACCUUCACAUUCAACUGCGGGUAUUCUGUUCUCGCAGAUGACUGGCUCUUUCAUAAAGAAUGUUUAAGGAAGUCUUAAUGACUGGGAAAGCCCUCCAGAUAGAAUGGUUGAAGUACUCUUGAACUGCACUGUAUGUAUUGCUUCUAGCUUUGGAUGAGCUUAAUAUCAUUUACGAGUAUUAAUCUAGUUCAUAUGGAAGUUUGUAUCCAAGCUAGUUGUGUACGUAUAUUAGGAGUCCAAGUGUUUGGCCGAGCUUAGCACUAGUCCGACUAGGAUAAGUAUGAUGGUUGAUCAUGUACACGUGGUUUUUUGAGUUUGGGUUCCAAGGUGUGUCCUAAUGCUAGUAGUAAUAGGAAGUACGAGGUACGAGUAGGAUUAGUUGGUCUAUAGGUUGGCCACAUUGUGUGUGUGUGUGUGUGUACAUACUAGCAAAAUAGAUUGUGCGUUGCAACGAGAGAGAAAAUAACACACACUCUUAACCUAGUAACCAUGAAUCAAGAUUCUAAUAGGUCCACGCCCUUUAUUUUCAAAUGGAAUCACAUUUUUGUUGCCGACGGUGGUCUCAGUGCUCAGAAAACGAAAUCGCGUUUGAAUGUGGUCAGUCCUAGGCCUCUCUCUCUCUCUCUCUCUCUCUCUCUCUCUCUCUCUCUCUCUCUCUCUCUCUCUCUCUCUCUCUCUCUCACGCGCGGGCACGCGCACUCACUCGGAAUAAUAUGAGAAAUAUGUUGUUUUCAGCGGUGUGCAUGCAUGGUUAUCGAUGUUUUCUUUCCUCUCAAUCUGGUUUUAAUGGGUGUUUAUUUGAAAUUCGAAUCGCCGCCAGUACCAAAGAAAAAGGACCAUGCACAAUAAACUAAGUUUGCACCAAAAAUAAUAUUUAAGAAAUAUUUAACAGCUAAAAAUAACAUAAUGUUUAGAUUCUACACAUUUUUUAAUCAAAUUUCAUAUAUAACAUGUUAAAAUUAGAGUUACGGUUUAAAAAUAUGAAUAAUUUUGUCUUAGAUAAACUAUGGAUUGAUUAACCGAAAAGUCAGGGGUUUUCUGUUAAAACAACAAAAAGAUCCAGCUGACUUAAAUAUGGAUGACGGGUUGAUUACCUGAAAUGUCAGGGUUUUAUUGAGAAAUUCAAAAACACGGUUUGGCUAUGACUUAAACGUGUACUGCGGGUUAAUUUACACAAAACACAGGGAUUUUUUUUAAAUGGCAUGACGUUGAGCAGUCACAAGCACUCUGUGCUUUAUUAUUAGGUGUAGAUAUAGACGCGAGGAUAUAUCAAGAUUGUACCGUGAAGAAAAGGAGAAAAGAAUAAAGAAGAGGAAGAAAGAGUACGACAAGGCCCCUUGGAUACAAGGUUUGUGUGUGUUUGUGUGUGCGUGUGUGUGUGCGCGCGCGCGCGCGCGCGCGCGCGCGUGUGUGUGUGUGUGUGUGUGUGUGUGUGUUCAUCAUGUUAUAGGUGGUGAAACACACUAAUGAGCAAGGUAAAACUCACAUCGAUCAAGGUCAGUGGCAUUUGUUCAAGUUUGUAAGGUGACUGUAGGACGCCUAGUUACGUCUGUGAACAAAAAGAGUCAGUACCGGCAAGGUCAGUGGCCAUAGUAGUAGCAGUUGUAGGAUCAACAUUUAGGAGUAUCAAGGUAGACACGAAGAAUGGAUAACUAUCCCAGUUGCACCUACAAACUGAUCCAGAAUUGUUUCCAAGUUUUUUGCAGCAAGUGGAGUAGCCUUGACAGCGACCAAGGUGGCAUUGACAUAUUAUGGUGUCGGUCAUAGGAGAUCUGGUUAUAGUGGUUGAGAAUAAAAUGUUCCGUUUGCCUUUGAUUAAUUAUGCGUUGUCUGUAAUUUGGUAUUCAUGAAAGUCACUAUCACGAUUAAUUGACCAUGUUCUAGAUCUCUACAUCAAAUUUAUUCCUGUUAUCCUCAAUGUUAUAGCUACAUCGAGAUACUUAUUUUUCAUAUGCGAGUAAUUGGUUGAGCUCUCCCAGCAGGACGAAGCAGCAAAGGGAGCAAAAUGUAUACCAAACUGUGGAUGAAUGCCACAAUGGGGUAACUCGGAAAGUUUAACUCAUGCUCUAUGUCUUGCCCAAGGACAACAUACUCCGCGUGCAACUUUUUGUGUAUAUACCAGACGAUGCGCCAUAAACUAAUUUUUGUUACAAAUGGUAACAUAUUAGUAUCAAGAUGACACAAAUUUCCAUUACAAAUAUACAAUAAACCAUUGUAGACCUCAUCGGUGUGAAAAAUUAAUUGGACGAACUAAAGUUUUGCAAUGAGAUGCUGAUGGUAGGCAUCAACAUGGACUUGGAGCUCGACUUGGAGUUGUCGUACUACUAGUAACUUUCUAGAUCGCAUGGAAAACUAUGAAUCCAAACAAGAUAACAGAUACAAUGAUGUAUUAUAUAUGAGCACAGAGAGAGAAAAAAAUAGAAACUUUAAACAUGGCUUCCAACGGGUUCUUCUGGUGUGUUAAGAGCCUUUAGAAGAUGAAACUGGGCUAGCUAUGGCCCUAGCCAUAAAGAACAUGGAAUUAGUGAUAUUACAACCGUGAAGGCUAACACGAAUAAGUUUCUAAGCGCCCCAACUGUGAUCAACACCACGAUCAAAAGUAUCCGCAACCGAAGAUGUAGUUAAAUCUAUCGAUGAUGCUGUCAAAUACCUCAUCUCGCUGAUUGGGAACCGGAGUCACCAUAUACGCCAACAUGAAAACCAGGUCAGCUAUGCAUAUAGAGAAUCUCACCCAGAUAGACUGAAAAAACCGUUGGUCAAUGAGGCUCUCUUUUCUCAGCUGUAUUAUCUCUUUGCGGUGCCUAUUUUAGCGAACUCUUUUUCCAGCUCAAUAAGGUUGUGUUUUCACAACUUUGCUGCAUGUACACCGUAUAUUGUCCCCCGAACACCAAGCCUUCCAAUCCCAAGAACAAAAGGAAAGAGAUAGCAGCCCAAAAAUAGACCAAGUUAUCUUUCCAGCAUUGUCUUUCCUACCAGGAUUCGAAAUCCUUCUUGGCAAGACGAGCUGAAUUAUCUCCCAUAGUCCGAAACUCACAAGAACAUCAAAAAUCCGACGUGAAUGAAUUCAAUAAAGAACAGGUAUAGAUAAAAAAUAAUAAUCAAGUACGAAUAAAAUUGGUAGGGUCUCAGACAAUAUAUUGACAUAUGAGAACGUACAUGACACAUAUCACUGUGGACAUUGUCUAUGGCCUUAUUACAAGCAACAAGAGAAAUUACAUAGGCGUGUGAGUGCGCGUGCGCGCGCACACACACGUGCACACAUGCAUGACAUACAUGGAUUGACUAGAGGUCGCCCCAUAUAGUCAACAAUUUAUUGGAGGUAAACAUUAGCAUAACUUGGCCAUAGAUCGAAGCAAUCCAACAUAUGCCGAUGAAUGGCAUCCAUGUUGGUAGCAAUGCAAGCAUAUCGUUUUAGUACAGUCCUUCCAUCUUCGAAGCCACUCCCAUUUCAUCCAUCUUAGCAACCACUGCGAAAUUAAGAUAUCGAACUCCCAUUAGCUCAUGAGUUAAUUUUGCCAGGGCAGGAGAGUAUAAGAGGUCUUUGUGUAGGAAGUAACAUGCUUGAACUUGUGAGAUGGGACAUGAAGUCAACGAAGUACAUUAAUGAAAAUCGGUGGAAGGUCACAGAUAUGUAUUAGUCCACCAUACGACACAGAUCUUGUAUUUACAAAUAUCAAAGGCAUUGAUUAAAGUGAGUUUAGUGCAUUUACCAGAAUCUUCAAGAAUACAGGGGAAACAACAAGUGUUCUUGCAGGCAAAGUCAGAGCCACCCGCAAAAAUACAAGUAGAACAACAUCCUUUUGCGGCUAAGCUUAUGCAGCAGCCGCAGUCUGCGGUGGUCGAGUUUACGGUGAGGCUCAGGAUGAGCAGGCACAUGAUCACCUUCAAAGUGGUAGUGCUAGUGAGCAUCCUCUUACCCUCCAUUUUCUCUUGUUGAUGUUGCCUGCCUUGGUUACCUAGCUAAGUUUCUUGGUUUUGUGUUGAGAGGUGCUUCUUAAAUGGAUGUUGCUUGCUGCAAUUUAUAGGCAAUUGCAUUACGUUAUGAUAUGUAUAAGGUGCGAGUGGGUGGAAAAUCCUGUCGUAUUCAAUGUGACAGUAUCGACAAUUGAUGACAUUGGUUGGUAACCCGGACAAAUUCAUUCACACGUAUCUUGCGGAGGAAAUGUUGCAUCACCUACCAUAUUCAAUAUUAGGGAGAAAGCCUGAACUACACCAAUAGUGUGCAACGAGGCACAAAAAGCUACCACAAGUAGUGGAGUUCGUAUGAUAUCAGCAAGCUAUAAACAAUAACCAUGGAGGCAAUUAACACUAGCCCGUCAAAGAUGGUGCUAGCAACUUAUGGUGUUCAAUGCAACACCAGAGCAAAUAUGUAUGGACUUUGGUUAGUAAAAUUUCAACAGGCGCUACAUAUAUAUUUUUCUAUACAAAAUUGAUUGGAAGCAAUAGAGUAGGCUAGUUCCUAGGUAGACCUUUAGCAAUGUUCAUUUUGGCCAUGGUGUCGGAGAUCAGAUUAUAAGUAUGACGUACAUGCAACUUGAUCCCUUGUCCUCAUAUUUUAAUUCCCGCAUUCACAAGUUGCACGUACUAAGCACUCCCAAUUAUUACCCUUUUCAUUAUGCAACUAUUUUUAGAAUUUAUUUAUUUUUAAUAUACAAAUGUCAUUUAACAAACAAUCUAUUUUAUUCAGCUAGCGGAGGUCGGGCAAAACCGUUUUUUAUCCAAGUCUAGAAAACCUUGUAUAUUGUUCGGGCAUACAUUUUGCUUUUCUAAGAUAGAACCCCAAGAUAUUAGGCAUUGUGUCAGUUGUAUCAAACUUAUUUCUAUAUGACAUCAAAAUGUUAGAGAUAUUGAUAUGAUGCAAUGCACCGGGAUUAUCCUUAAAAACGAAAAACAAUUAAAAGGAGGAAAACUUGUGCAAAUAGUCCUUACGUGAUAUGGUCCUCAUCAAAAUUACCAAAUUUGGAAUAUGGUGCUUCGAAAAAAGAGUGUUCUCAAAAAGAGGUAUCAUGCCUGGCUUAUCUUGGCUUUCAACCCAAAUGGCCAAGGCGAUGGCCAUAUCCAUGGCAAACAUUGUUUUUCGUUUUCCCAUAUUCAGCACACACAUGCAUCUUGGAACACAAAUCCAACCAACAACCAAUGAUCGUUUCAUUUCUUAGAGGUGCGGGCGAGGACAAUUAAAAACUUGUGAAACAGGUGUACCCGAGGCUUAAUUCACUAUUCGAGUAUACAGAUUGGGUCACUCUGUUUCGAAAUCACAACAAGAAAAUGUUUUGUUGAACAUCCUCUGUUAGAUAAGACUACAAGAUGAUGGUACUUUUGGGUCCUUCACAAAACAAGAAACUAACCAAGAGAUUAGGAUGACUGAUCUGUCCCAUGUAUGUCCUGCAAAUCAGUUGUUGAUAACGUUGCCAUUAUUUAGGAAAAGGCUCCUCACCUGAAUAUAUAUAUGCCACAAACCUUUAUUUAGGAAAAGGCUCCUCACCUGAAUAUAUUUCAAAUGUUUGACAGUUUUACAGGAUCACGCAUAUGCGCGCUCCUUGGGUGCCCCAGAUUUUAGCCUAUGUAUCCAUAUGUAAGGUAAGAUCAGUGCCAAUGUUUUCGAUGGUGUCAAGGGGAGGAUCAUCUACAAGUUAGAACAUCUUGUUCAUGGCACCCCAUAUUAUCCAUACUACAUGUAGAAGAAUUAAGCAUGGGAUAAAUAUAGCCAGAGGGCAUUGCGGUUGAGAAGAGAUCACCAAUUUGGAUGGAGAUUGCGUGCCAUAUCCUUCAAGCAGCAUGACAGGUGAAGAAGAGGUGAUGUCUAUCAUGGGCAGAUGGAGCUGGUGAGGAUUCUUUAUUUUUUGUAGAUUGCAUCUUGUGUUCACUCUGUCCAGGUAGAAGAGCUAGACGAAGAUCUGUAAUCUCUUUCAAGGUGCGGUCCUAUGGAUCCGAAAGCUGGGGUGAUAGGGCAGCAUAUGCCCCCUCUUGAUGAAAGCUGACCCAUUAAGCAACCCUCGCUCGUCAGGAUCCUACAACAGAGAGUUUAACGAGCCAAGCUCUGGCGAGGCAGUUGAGGUUAGUCGGUUACGCAAGGCAAGUUCGACCUGCAUGAUGGCAUCUUUGGUGGGAUCGGUGAGAGAAAAUGGUAGGGAAAACAUUGGCUAAUGGUUCAGGGUUGAUCCACCUGUCAAGCCAAAACAAACAAUCUCAAACAGUGGCUAAUGGUUCAGGUCUCCCAAAAAGAAUCUUUAGUUUGUUAGAUAAUAUUAUUUGCAUGGUUGUUUCCUAGUGUAUCAUAUAUGGACUCUUGGGCCGAUAGGAUCUUCUUUGUAAACGUAUGUACUUCAAAACAUGAGGAAACCAUAUCUCGUUUAGUCCUAGCCGUAAAAUUAAGAUCUGAUGGUUAUUUAUCAGCACUUGUCAAGGAUUAACGUGGAGGCUCGUAUGGUGCCUCCAAUUAAUAAAUAUAUGAUUUUGACAUGGGCUUCUUAUAUAUUUCGCUAUAAAAAUUGAUUGGAACAAAUACGUACGCCUAGUUCGCUAGGAUAGGCCUUUAGCAAGGUUUAUCAUCUCCACUGUGUUGAAGAUUAGAUGAUAAGUAUGAACUAAAUGCAACUUGAUCCCAAGUCUUCAUAUUCCAAUCCCCAAAUUUACAACUUGCUCGUACUAUGCACAUCCUAUUAGUAACUUUUUUUGCUAGGAACACUUUUUAUAAUUUAUUUGUUUGUGAAUACACAAAUGUCAUUUUAACAGACUAUCUAUUUUUAUUCAGCUAGCAGAGGUUGGGCACAAUCAAUUUUUAUCCAAGACUAAAAAACCAUGUACAUUUUCGGGGGGCAUACAUCUUGUGUUUCUAAGAGACAACACUAAGAUAUUACGCAUUGUGCCUCUUGUAUCAAACUUGUUUUUGUAUGUCAUAGAAAUAAUAGAGAUAGUGAUAUGAUUCACUGCACAUGGAUUAUCCUAAAAUAGAGAAACAAUUGAAAAACGGGAAACUUGCACAAAGAGUCCUUUUACAUGAUAUGGUUUCCAUAAAAAAUACCAAAAUUGAAAUAUGACGCUUUGAAAAAAAAGUGUUCUCGGAAAGAGGUAUCAUGUAUGCUUAUCUUGGCUUUCAACCCAAAAUACCAAGGCGAUAGUCAUAUCCAUGGGAAACAUGGUGGUAUUUUGCCCAUAUUCGGCACACAUGUGCAUCUUGGCAUGGCUUUAUAAUGACACCUUAUUCACAUUGAUAAGAGCCUGUAUGCAAUAGCUACGACUCUCCUAAAACAAUGUCGACCGAUGAAAUCUCUGGACCAAAAGUUGGGCAGAAAACGCCAGACCAGUGAAUGGGGUGCCAAAACAUGGAAAAGGGCGGGAAAUUGCCAAAAUUCUACCGUUGGUUGUAGCCUCACUGAAACCGACAUGUAAUUUGACCGUCGAAUAUUCAGACAACCUGGAACCCUAGCAUGCUACCAAGGCACCGACAUAAUGCAUGUAUUCUGUGCAUGCGAUACUGGCGCCCCCGCGACCAGAGGAAGGAAAAAACACCUAGACGGUACGCUAGUGCCUAAAUUUGGGCGGGAGAACACCAGAGUGGUGAGUUGGCCACCAAAAGAUGAAAAAGGGCUAGUCUUUGGCAGGUAUAAACAAGGGGGGAGGGGGGCUGGUAUUUCGGGUGCCAGAUCUUGUGAAGGUAAACAAGGAGAGAGACAUAAGAUGGAUACAAGCUGCUCCUCUGCCUUUGUUUGACUUGACCCAGCUGAAACAUAAUGUCGUUUCCAAAGAAACUUCAAUUACUGUUGAGAAGAGACAAAACCAAAUACUGCCAUUACACAAUAUAUAUCCGUCGUAAGAUAUUGAUUAAGCUAACCAAGCUGGACAUUGCCUACAGUACACCUAGAUAACUUAAUUUAUGCUAGCGACCGUGACGGCGAUCACCAAUUGAUUGUAUUUAGUGACUAAUAACCUGCCAUUGGUAUAUUUCAAAUUUUAUAUAUCAUUUGAUCCUCACCAUCGUCGGACAUGAUCGAGUCACAGAGAUAGGUACAAGUAGCUGUUCUGAGAAUAAGAAGAAAAAAUCGAUGCACUGACAAUCUCCAAUGUGUGUCCAUCUCAACCAUUUUAAAUUAAUUAGUACAAGUCCAAAUUAUCUGCUCUCCGGUAGAAACUAAAUUAGUCACGUUUGUUACGCUAGAGUUUGGUGCCAACGAACAAACCUAGCAAAUCAAUUGCACGUGGUCUCCUUAAACUACAAACAACGACAAUGAUGGAGGAGCCACUAAAUAGAAGGCCGGGCAGCGAUAGAAUGUACUUACUCAAUGGUAGCUAAUUUUUGUUGGUAAAUUGCGAGCGUUCUCCAGGGACGAACUCAAGAAGCAGUUUUUCUUGAUGAACGGACAAUAAGCUCCACCAUGCAAAAAUAUAAGGUUUCAGUUUGAGGAUCCAGCAAUAGUUCAUCAUGGAGCCUGAUGCACCAAGGUCAUAAUGCUGGUCUGGUGUGCAAAAUCCAAAGUAUGCAUCAGUUCUGCUCUCACACAUUGCGGAUCGUUCGAAUAUGCCAUCCAGAUCUUGUCUGUCCUGGAUAUACUUUUUGCUCGGAAUUAUAAAACUGUUCCUUUAUAAACUACUUACAGAAGCAUGAUUGUGGCUGUUGAACAUUUACUUUCCUUGAGUCGAAAAGACGCGCUAAUUUAGGGAAGCAGCAUGUGGGCACUGGAUAUCAUGUGCAUGCAUGUUCUUAACCCCCAAGCCACUCAGAUUAUUUGGCCCCAGAGCAAACCGCUUGGUUUGACCAGAAAAAAGACCUUCUACCCUUAUCCAUAGCAUAUGAAUGGAGAAGCAGAGCAUGAGCAGUGGGCAAACUAUCUAUCCUCUGAGAUGGACCAAGGAUAGAUAGUCGUUAGUGGCUCUAUAAAGAGGCCGGAUUCUGUCACACACAUAAGGGCUAAUUUGGCAGCAAGGUAAACGAAACCAGGGUAGCAAACCUUCGGGAGAUUAUACGCUAUUACUCACCUUCGGGAGAUUAUACGUUUCAAUCACUAUAUAUAUGACGUGCAAAAUGCAGCACACAUCCAUCACCAUCAGUUGAACUCGUGUCACACAAACUCCAUAGUCCAUACUUCUCUAGGUGUCACCUCACUAUGCUGGAUACCUCUCCAAGUCUAUAUGUGAUGGACGGACGAACCAAGGCUCACUGGGCUUAAACACCUCCGGAAUGACAACCUCUACUACAACUCAACUCUGGAUUUUCGUACCUGUGCGUUUCACCAAACCAGUUGAUUAUCACCCCACUCUGCUCUUCUCUUCUCCAUGUAGAGUAGACCAGAGUAGGGACACCGAACACAUCAAUUACCAUCACAUACUAAAGUAUAUUCUAACAGCUGCUACAACUGAAUUAAUCAAUCAUGCCCAAACACCCAUCCAUACCCACUCACUGCCAUUAUGUCCGGAAAUUGUCCAGCUUUGAACACACAAAUAAAAUAGAAUAGUCUCUAGUCUCCAUGCACUUUUACUGUUUGAUUGAUCACAAAACUUACCUCAACAGUAAGAAAAUACACAAAAUUUGUUUUUCUCUGAUAUAUGAGAUCACAGAUUUUAGCCUUUUGGCGGUUCUAUUGCCAUCAAUGGCAUUUACUAUAUUCACGGAUGCAAUUUGCUAACAAACCUUGCUAUCUAAUCUCCCUUGCACCUGCUCACGUCAAGAUUUAAACUGGAUGAGAUAAUGUAUAUGACUAUGCGUGACAUCAAGUUUAAGCAUUUAUGGUUCAGAUUUUACAUCAAGUAUAUCGUAGUGUAGUGCAGCAAGCUUAAUUCUCCAAAUCACCCAUAGCAUCGAAUGAAUGAAGAACCAAAUCGAUAAUUACAUCAGAGCUAGUCACUGCAAUAUCAGCAUAUUGUUAAUUGUUAAUGUGUAUAUCGAUCAACUUUGUUUCUUUUCAAGUAAUCUAACACAUUCAUCAAGGGAUUAAAUUGUAACCGAAUAGUACCAUUAGAAGUACAAAUAAGUUAACCAUUUCACAUUUGAUUUUCCACUAUUACUAAUUUGAUAUUUUAUCUUUUACAUUCGAAUCUUCUGAGGUUUGUGUACAUUUUGUGUUGUUUAAGACCGUCGGUCGACUGUAGAGUAGCCGCGCACCUCGUUCUUAUCCAUCUAAUCACAUGCACUAUGGUCUUUGCGUGGCAUUAAUUAAUUAGCAGUUGAUGCAACUGCUCCAUUAUUAACAAUAAAAAGGCAUCCUCGUUUAGCACGCAGGUCUUGUUUGAAUGCAUAAUCAUUUGCAUAAUAAUUAGGUAAGGCCGCUAGUUGGUGAGAAAUGCAUUGUACUUUCCUUGAGAUUAUCUGUCGACACCAAGCUGGUCAAUGGCGUGCAAUUUGAGAGCACUACCCUAUUCUCUGCGUUGUUAUAAAAAAAAUUAAGGCAAAGGGACUGUGUACCCUUUGUAUCGAAUCGACAUGUACCUAGGAUAAAAAUAAAUUAAUUGAUUCAUAAUCUAGUACAACAAAGGUAAAAUAAUUUAAAAAACACUCCCUAAAAUAAGUAUAAGAAUGUGACAAUCGCUCCCUAAAAACGGAAUGUAACAAUCACUCCUGGAAGGGGAAACAGCAAGAUACCGCAAUGCCACUCGAGCACUUUGACGUGUAGUACUGGGUAUGGGGAGAUUAUGUUGGGAUAAGAUAGUGGGUUGCCGGAGCCGGAGACCUCACCGGAGAGUUGGAAUUCCCCAUGUGGAUUCGGCUGUUGGCGAAGAAGUUGGUAAAGUGAAUGAGAGGGCGAUAGCGAACGGACACUGCACAUUCACCGGAUCUGGGCAAGGAAAGGGCACAAAUGAACAACACCUUCUUUUUCUGUUUUUAAAACGCCAAAAAGGUGUGGGUGUGUUGUGAAUCAAACUAGCGACCUACUGCUUCAACGUAAGCUGCAGUACCCACUUACUUACUAAUUUUUUUUUCACAUUUUCCUCUUUCUACUUUUCUUUUUUCUUGUUUCUGGUUCGAUGAGUUUUUUUUUCCAAUUUUGUGAACUAUUUUUUCAAAAUCAAUGAACUUUUUUCAAUUUGUAAACUUUUUUUUUCUAAAAUUGACAAAAAAUUGUAAUCAAUUGUUUUACUAUUUUUUUCCAAAUUUUGUGAUACUUUGGAAAAGUCAACUAGUCAGUUAGUGAACCGAUCAACUGGCACCAGUCAACCAGUGAGAGAUCAGAAGCGUAGGGAACGCUCAACCCGGUUGCAUUUUGCUGCGCUGCAGCGAGAUGACAUUUUCAGCCGCAACCCAUGAAUGAAGGUAGUGAGCGCCAGGGAUUCUUUUCGGUGCUUGAAGUGCCGAAUAGGAGCUCCCAUGAAUUAGAUAGCUUUCGGAUGCAAAUUCCGUUUGCAGAUCAGCGAGGCCACAAGCUUUCCAGUUGUUUUUUCCUUAAUCCAGUUCCAUCUAUGUAAAACUGCGAACGACGGAUCAACAUGCACAUGGUCAGCUCGAUCGUUACGCCAAAUGAAUACAAAUUAUGCACACACACUCCGACGUGGCGAGCGAGAGCGACUUUUUUUUUGGCGAGGGAGCGAGAGCGACUUUGUUGAGAGGACCAAACUACCAUGAUUUUAUACCAUUCUUCGUAUGAUAUUAAAACUGGCUAUUGGCUGUUUGUCUCUUGUAGACGUAUUUAAUCAGCUAUGUCAUACAAUACAAAUUAGGUGUUCCGUCGCCAUCACAUUCAACUGCGGGUAUUCUGCUCUCGCAGAUGACUGGCUCUUUCAUAAAGAAUGUUUAAGGAAGUCCUAAUGAUUGGGAAAGCCCUCCAGAUAGAAUGGUUGAAGUACUCUUCAACUUCACUGUAUGUAUUACUUUUAGCUUUGGAUGAGCUUAAUCUCCCAGGAAUAAUCUUGAAUUACCAAAAAUUCUGGAUCAUUUACGAGUAUUAGUCUAGUUCAUAUGGAAUUUUGUAUCCAAGCUAGUUGUGUACGUAUAAGUAUGAUGGUUGAUCAUGUACACGUGGUUUUUUGAGUUUGGGUUCCAAGGUGUGUCCUAAUGCUAGUAGUAAUAGGAAGUACGAGGUACGAGUAGGAUUAGUUGGUCUAUAGGUUGGCCACUUUGUGUGUGUGUGUGUGUGUGUGUGUGUGUGUGUGUGUGUGUGUGUGUGUGUGUGUUCAUCAUGUUAUAGGUGGUGAAGCACACUAAUGAGCAAGGUAAAACUCACAUCGAUCAAGGUCAGUGGCAUUUGUUGAAGUUUGUAAGGUGACUGUAGGACACCUAGGUACGUCUAUGAAGAAAAAGAGUCAGUACCGGCAAGCUCAGUGGCCAUAGUAAUAGCAGUUGUAGGAUGAACAUUUAGGAGUAUCAAGGGAGACUCGAAGAAUGGAUAGCUAGCCCAGUUGCACCUACAAACUGAUCCAGAAUUGUUUCCAAGUUUUUUGCAGCAAGUGGAGUAGCCUUGACAGCGACCAAGGUGGCAUUGACAUAUUAUGGGGUCGGGCAUAGGAGAUCUGGUUAUAGUGGUCGAGAAUAAAAUGUUCCGUUUGCCUUUGAUUAAUUAUGCGCUGUCUGUAAUUUGGUAUUCAUGAAAGUCACUAUCAUGAUUAAUUGACCAUGUUCUAGAUCUCUAAAUCAAAUUUAUUCCUGUUAACCUCAAUGUUAUAGCUACAUCGAGAUACUUAUUUUUCAUAUGCGAGUAAUUGGUUGAGCUCUCCCAGCAGGACGAAGCAGCAAAGGGAGCAAACUGUAUACCAAACUAUGGAUGAAUGCCCCAAUGGGGUAACUCGGAAAGUUUCACUCAUGCUCUAUGUCUUGCCCAAGGACAACAUACUCCGCGUGCAACUUUUUGUGUAUAUACCAGACGAUGCGCCAUCGGGUAAAUACUUUUUUUUACAAAUGGUAACAUAUUAGUAUCAAGAUGAUACAAAUUGCCAUUACAAAGAUACAAUAAACCAUUGUAGACCUCAUCGGUGUGAAAAAUUAAUUGGACGAACUAAAGUUUUGCAAUGAGAUGCUGAUGGUAGGCAUCAACAUGGACUUGGAGCUCGACUUGGAGUUGUGGUACUACUAGUAACUUUCCAGAUUGCAUGGAAAACUAUGAAUCCAAACAAGAUAACAGAUACAGUGAUGUAUAAUAUAUCAGCACAGAGAGAAGAAAAAAAAAUAGAAACUUUAAACAUGGCUACCAACGGGUUCUUCUGGUGUGUUAAGAGCCUUCGGAAGAUGAAACUGGGCUAGCUAUGGCCCUAGCCAUAAAGAACAUGGAAUUAGUGAUAGCACAACCGUGAAGGCUAACACAAAUAAGUUUCUAAGCGCCCCAACUGUGAUCAACACCAUGAUCAAAACUAUCCGCAACCGAAGAUGUAGUUAAAUCUAUCGAUGAUCCUGCCAAAUACCUCAUCUCGCUGAUUGGGAACCGGAGUCACCAUAUACGCCAGCAUGAAAACCAGGUCAGCUAUGCAUAUAGAGAAUCUCACCCAGAUAGACUGAAAAAACCGUUGGUCAAUGAGGCUCUAUUUUCUCAGCUGUAUUAUCUCUUUGUGGUGCCUAUUUUAGAGAACUCUUUGUCCAGCUCAAUAAUGUUGUGUUUUCACAGUUUUGCUGCAUGUACACUGUAUACUGUCCCCCGAACACCAAGCCUUCCAAUCCCAAGAACAAAAGGAAAGAGAUAGCAGCCCAAAAAUAGACCAAGUUAUCUUUCCAGCAUUGUCUUUCCUACCAGGAUUCGAAAUCCUUCUUGGCAAGACGAGCUGAAUUAUCUCCCACAGUCCGAAACUCACAAGAACAUCAAAAAUCCGACGUGAAUGAAUUCAAUAAAGAGCAGGUAUAGAUAAAAAAUAAUAAUCAAGUACGAAUAAAAUUGGUAGGGUCUCAGACAAUAUAUAGACCUAUUAGAACGUACAUGACACAUAUCACUGUGGACAUUGUCUAUGGCCUUAUUACAACACUAGUAGAAAACGAGCCUAUUGUCCCGGUUCAUAAGGGCUUUUUGUCCCGGUUCCAGAACCGGGACUAAAGGGUCGUUACUAAUGCCCUGACCCUUUAGUCCCGGUUCUAACCAGAACCGGGACAAAUGGGCCUCCACAUGGCCUGCGCGCUGAGCCCAGGCAGGAGGGCCUUUGGUCCCGGUUGGUGGCACCAACCGCGACCAAUAGGCCUCCACGCGUCAGCAUUUCUGUGGCUGGGUUUUUUGUUUUUUUUGAAAGGGGGGGGGGUGGGGGUUUUGGGGGGUUAAUUUAGGUAUUUCAUAUAUUGUGUUAGAUAGCUAAUUAAUAGAGAGAAGUGUCCUCUCUUAUGUCCGUGCUUGGUCGACGCUACGUAUACUAUACAUACGUAUAGAGAGGACUAGACACGCUAGCUAGCUAGUAAGCAGACGAAGGAAACAGAAAAUCGUCAUGAACAUAUAUGCAUACAGAGAGAAGUGAUAUCGACCACCUCUCCUUCUCCGAGAGAUUGGUUGAACAACAAGUUCUCGUAUAUCUAUCGUCCGACACUACCGGCUACAUAUAUACAAUAAUUAUCUCUUGCAAAUAUAAUCUCCUACAUUAUGGACGCAUGGUCCACAUAGUAUUCUCCGUCUUCAGCGAUCACGUGGUCAAGAAAGAAUGCCGCCAAUUCCUCUUGAAUUGCUCGCAUGCGAUCUGGUGCUAGGAGUUGAUUCCGCAUCCGAAACAUCUAAUUUGAAGAAGGGGGUCAAUACAUAUAUAUAUAAAUGAAUGAAACUCAACACAAAUGAUGGUAAUAAAAUAAAAUUGUGAAUAUUGUUAUUUACGCACUUCAUAUUGUUCGUCAGUGUACCCGCCCCGCUCACAGGUCGUGUGGCGGAUGGACUUGCAGACGUAGUAUCCACAGAAAUCAUUCCCUUGUUCCUGCCACAACCACUUUACAAGAAAUAGAGGUCAAUCAAACUCAUAAGCAAGAAUGCCAAAUGGUAUUGAUGAAACUAGCGCUUGAAUCACUAGGAGAUGCGCGGAACAUGCUACUAUAGUACUUACUUUCGGGUGUCUAAUUUGCAGCUCCUUCGGCAGUCCCGGAGCUUUUUGUGGUGAAUUUUCUCCAAACUCUGCCGGACAAAGAAAACAAUUAGUUGAUAUCAGGAAAUGAACAAAGUUGCUGAUAUGGUGGAUAAUGAUCGAUUUAACGUACUUCUUGAGGAUUUCAGUCAUGUCCGCAUACUCCUGGGGAUCUUUUCAUCUAGAGUCCAAGAUAGUUACUACUCCCUUCUCAAGCAUAAUCUCUAGGAGAAUAUAGUGGAAACUGCGCACGCAUGCAUAACUCAUCAAUUACAUUACUAUAACCUGGACUAAUAUAUAAGGGAAACCGAAUAUGCACAAGACAGUAACACUCACUUGAAGUUGUAAGGAAAGAGUAUUAUAUCUUUGUGUUCAUUUAUUUUGAAUGAUCGUAGCAAGUUGGCCUCGGUUUCUUCGGGCCUUUUGUCAACCUCAGUUGCAUCUAUGAGAUAUGUGUUAACGAACCCAAUAUCACCGAUUUGUCUUUUCUUCAAUUCGGCGAUCUUCAAUCUGCAUAAUAUAGUGAGCAUAAUUAUAAAUACAUGCAAUGAAAGAGCUGAGCUAUAUAGAGAGACUUAAUGACAGAAGUAGUAGUACUUACAGACAGUAGCAGGUGACCGUUGUUUUAUUGAGGGCCAAUUGUUGAAAAACUGAUAGAACUCCUCAAAUGGAAUAGGCAACAGUUCAAUUCCAACGAGGUCAUGCUCCGGUUUAACUCUCGCAUACAAAGUACUCCUCCCCCCAGACUCUCUGCAGAUUUUCAAGUACCAAUCAUGCAAUCUUCGCAUCAUCGUUGAUAGAGAUUUUUCAUCUUUGACGAGAGGCUUCCCGUACUCGUAUCUGUGUAUCUGCACAUCCAUGGGAUCAUAAUGUACUUCGUCGGGCAGGUAAUCGUCAAGAUUGCUAUAACCGGGCACCAUCCUCGGAUCGACGAUGUCGCUAGGCACCUUGAGCGGGGGGCACGAUUGCUUCGCUUGUUCGCCGAGUUGGGCAAUUUGUUUCCCAGCUGCUUGUCAUUCUUUCAGCCUUUGAUCACUUACUGUACUUCCCGACCGCUCUGCUUCGGCCCAUGUCUUUGCAAUAAUGCGCUCAUAGUUGCCUUUCGGCGGAGACUUGGGUGGUUUUGCCAGGGCAGCCAGAGUGCGGUUCACUUUCACCGGAUCUACCUUCUCCUUCGGAGGUAGAUGUCUCUUUGCUUUCAACGCUUGAAACCAGUCAUCCACCUCGGCUCGCGCGAUCCUCGCGUUCUCCUCUGGGGUCCUCUCGUAUGGUAACUUCUCUGAAGUCUUCAGAGAAGGACCGAAUCUGCAUGUCCUCCCGCCUCUGGCUGUACUGCUAGACGCCGGCCGAACAGACGGAGCGGCUUUCUUCUUUACUUGCUUACGAGGCGAAGGAGAAGGACUACGACGCAGCGGAGUAGCUGCCGGAGCGGCGGCGGGUCUCUUCCGCCCUUGCUGACGAGGCGGAGAAGGAGGAGGCUGGCUGCUCGGGCGCGCCGGCGCAGGAGGAGAAGGAGGCGGAGUGCCGCCACGCGCCAGAGAAGGAGCCGGCCGAGGGCCCUGAUCGUCACUCGUCGGAGGAGGAGGCGGUGGAGGAGGCGGAGUGCCAUGACUCACCGGAGGAGGAGGAGGAGGCGGAGGCGUCCAGUCGGAAGGUUGAUGAGCUCCUUCCGCCAUAGGCAUGGAGUCUUCAGAGAAGAACCCAGCCGAGUCUCCCCUUCUCCGGUAGGGUGGUCAAGCUGGAGGUCCUCAAAUCCCCCCGUUAUUUCAUCCACCAUCACCUUAGCAUAUCCUUCUGGAAUCGGCCGGCAGUGAAAAGUUGCGCUGGGUUCAUUAGGAAAAAUAGAGCCAACAGCCGCCUUGACCUUCAUAUUAAUCCAUUGCGUCAUAAGGUGGCAAUUUUGAGCCUCCGUGAUAGCAUCCACGGGAUAGCUGGCAGGAGCCGUCAAGACAAGCUCCGGCUGAAGCAGCUCAGUGGAAGCCACGCUGCUUCUCCGCUGAGAUGGCGGGGUAGCUUCAGGGGAAGCUUCGGCAAGUCGUUUGCUGCGAUUUGCUUCUCGUUCCUCUAUCGCUUGUACCCUUGUGUGCAGCGCCUGAAGUUCGGUCUGCUGCACUUUUUUCCUCCUCUCGUGGCUUUUGUAACCGCUUGCGUCCGGAAACCCAGCCUUCCACGGAAUGGAGCCUGGCGUGCCUCGUGUCCGUCGAGGGUGCUCAGGAUUUCCGAGGGCCUUUGUGAGCUCGUCGUUCUCUCUGUCUGGAAGGAACGUCCCUUUCUGCGCUGCAGCGAUAUAGUACCGAAGCUUCUUCAAGGGUAUGUCAAGUUGCUCGUCCGUCCAAAUGCACUUCCCUGUUACAGGGUCCAAGGUUCCGCCAGCCCCGAAGAACCAAGUCCGGCAACGGUCUGGCCAGCUCAUUGUCUCUGGUUCGAUCCCUUUUGCAACCAGAUCAUUCUCAGCCUUGGCCCACUUAGGCCGGGCUACGAGGUAGCCACCUGACCCGUGCGAUGGUGAAGCUUCUUCUUCGCAGCAUUUUUCUUGUUUGUCGCCGACAUCUUCUUACUCUUUUCCGAUGUCUUGUGGGCCACAAAUGGAGGCCAGUCAUCUCUGAUCUUCUCAUAUAUGCCCUUGAAUUCUGGUGUCUCUUUUUUCUCGACAAACCUAUUCAGGUCUUUCUUCGACCUCCUGAAUAGGUCUACCAUCCUCUUAAGAGCAAAAGACUUGAUUAAUUCCUCUUUAACUGGCUUCUCCGGAUCAUCCUCUGGCGGUAGGGUGAAAUUUGUCUUCAGCUCAGUCCAAAGAUCAUUUUUCUGCAUAUCAUUGACGUAAGACACCUCAGGGUCUUCUGUAGCCGGCUUGAACCAUUGCUGGAUGCUGAUCAGGAUCUUGUCCCUAACCAGAACCCCGCACUGAGCAACAAAUGCCUUCUUUGUUUGGAUGGGUUCAAUAGGUUGGCCGUCGGGCGCGAUUGCUAUGAUCUCAAACCUUUCAUCCGAGCUCAACUUUUUCUUCGGGCCUCAUCUCUUUACCUCAGUUGUGCUCGAUCCGGAGGGCUAGAAAAAAGAGCAAAGACUUAAUUAAUAUGUGUACAUACCAAAACAAUGAAUGCAUCAAUUAGCUAGUCAGCACAGGCUUAACUAAUAUAUAUACCUGGCCGGACUCGGUUUGAUCACCGGAGCCGUCAUCACGGUCUCCUUCUUGCACCGGCAUUGGGUCACCGGAGCCGUCCUCACGUUCUUCUUCUUGCACCGGCAUUAGGUCACCAGAGCCAGCUUCUUCACCCUCUCCUUCCAGACCAUCGGUGUCGUUGAGAAACAACGAGACGACAUCACUUCCUUGUGCGAUUAUGUCCCUCAACAUCGCUUCGUCUGCUUCGUCUCGGACGGUGUCCAUAGUUUCUACAAAUAUUUACAACAUGGCAAUUAUUAUUCAAACAUGACAAAUGGAUAUAUUAGUGGCAAACGUAGAACUAGCUAGCUAAUCAUAGUAAGGAAUCAUAUAUAUUAAUUAGUGGCCUCGAAGGUGCUUCUCUAGGGUUUGGGGUGGCCUCGACAACGCUUCAAGGGUUUGGGGUGGCCUCGAGAACGCUUCAAGGAGGGGGUAAUAUCGACCCCCCACCCCACGUGUUGAAGCUAUUGGGAGGGGUAUAUCGACAACGAUGACACUACAUCUAUGUCCCUCGACGACCCUCGUUCCCGAUAAAAAAAAAGAGGAAGAAGAAGAAAAAAAGAGGAGAAGAACUCCUCUAUUCUUUCUUCCCCUCUUUUUUUUUCUUCUUCCUCUUCUUUUUUUAUCCUCUUCGUCCUCUCAUGUUAGAGAGGAUCGCCGAGGGGUCAGGAGGUUGCCUAGUGUUAAAGGAUUCAACAAAACCAUGUCUUCAUCAUUAGGCGAAAGUAACAGGUGCAUGAUGGUACGAAGCUCUCCAAAGUUAUUUUGGAACGGAGUCCCAGAUAGGAUAAUUCGCUUUUUGGUACAAAGUUCAGCAAGAACCUUCCAAAUAUCGUUAUUUGGAAGGCCUUUGCUGAAAUUCAUAAAAAAAGGCAAAUUAUCCUAUCCGGGACACCAUUCCAAAAUAACUUUGGAGGACUUCGUACCAUCAUGCCCUGGUUACUUCUGGCUAAUGAUCAAGACAUGGAUUUCUUCAAUACUUUGACACUAGGAAACCUCUCUCGACCCCUCGGCGAUCCUCGACCCCUCGAACCCUCGACGACCCUGGAACCCUCGACCCCUAGACGACCCUGGAACCCUCGACCCUUGAUCCCUAGACCCUAUAGAACCCUCGAACCCUCGACCCUGAAACCCUCGACCCUNNNNNNNNNNNNNNNNNNNNNNNNNNNNNNNNNNNNNNNNNNNNNNNNNNNNNNNNNNNNNNNNNNNNNNNNNNNNNNNNNNNNNNNNNNNNNNNNNNNNNNNNNNNNNNNNNNNNNNNNNNNNNNNNNNNNNNNNNNNNNNNNNNNNNNNNNNNNNNNNNNNNNNNNNNNNNNNNNNNNNNNNNNNNNNNNNNNNNNNNNNNNNNNNNNNNNNNNNNNNNNNNNNNNNNNNNNNNNNNNNNNNNNNAGUUCCCGACCCUCGACCCCUCGGCGAUCCUCGACACCCUCGUUCCCGAUAAAAAUUAAGAAGAAGAAGAAGAAAAAAAAAGAAGAAAAACAGGAGAAGAUCGAAGAAAAAAAAGAAGAAAAAGAAGAGGAGAAGAAGAAAGGAAUAGUGGAGAGGAAGAGAAAAUAGAAUAUUCUAUUUUCUCUUCCUCUCCACUAUUCCUUUCUUGUUCUCCUCUUCUUUUUCUUCUUUUUUCUUCUUCUUAUUUAUUUCUCCUCUUCUUUUCCUCUCCUCUUCUUCUUUCUUUCCUCUUCUUAUUUUCUUCUUUCCUAUCCUUCUUUUUCUAAAAUUGUAACUUUUGCAUAUAUAAAACUUUUCUAAAAUUGUAACUUUCUAUAUAUGAACAAAAAACUUUCUAUGAACAAAAAAACAUUUUUAACAUAUAUAUUUAGCAAAUUCUAGCCACAUACAUCACACGCACAUAUACAUUAUAGCCACAUACACAUAUACAUCACAUAUGAACAAAAAAAAUAAACUAAUAAAAAUAAAAAAACUUAUUGCAACAUAUGAACAGAAACAUAUAGCCACAUACAUACACAUACAUUAUAUAUAUAUAUGAAAAAAAUUAAACUAAUAAAAAAAGUGGUGGCGCCGGCGGGGCAGAGGGGCAUGGCGGCAGCGGUGGCGCCGGCGGGGCAGGGCAGGGGCGGCUAGGCGGCGCGCGGCGNNNNNNNNNNNNNNNNNNNNNNNNNNNNNNNNNNNNNNNNNNNNNNNNNNNNNNNNNNNNNNNNNNNNNNNNNNNNNNNNNNNNNNNNNNNNNNNNNNNNNNNNNNNNNNNNNNNNNNNNNNNNNNNNNNNNNNNNNNNNNNNNNNNNNNNNNNNNNNNNNNNNNNNNNNNNNNNNNNNNNNNNNNNNNNNNNNNNNNNNNNNNNNNNNNNNNNNNNNNNNNNNNNNNNNNNNNNNNNNNNNNNNNNNNNNNNNNNNNNNNNNNNNNNNNNNNNNNNNNNNNNNNNNNNNNNNNNNNNNNNNNNNNNNNNNNNNNNNNNNNNNNNNNNNNNNNNNNNNNNNNNNNNNNNNNNNNNNNNNNNNNNNNNNNNNNNNNNNNNNNNNNNNNNNNNNNNNNNNNNNNNNNNNNNNNNNNNNNNNNNNNNNNNNNNNNNNNNNNNNNNNNNNNNNNNNNNNNNNNNNNNNNNNNNNNNNNNNNNNNNNNNNNNNNNNNNNNNNNNNNNNNNNNNNNNNNNNNNNNNNNNNNNNNNNNNNNNNGGACCAACGGCGUUGUGCUGCCCCGCGCCCAAAUGUUUAGUCCCACCUCGCUAGUUGAGAGGGAGCCGCACCUGUUUAUAAGGUGCGGUGCGCCUUCCCUCUCGAGCUCCUCUCUAAAGAAGGCUUUCGGGUCUAACCGUGCAAUGUGUGCCUGUGGGCCUACUGGGCCUCCCGCGGGCCUGAAUCCUGGCCCAUGGUAGGGUUUCUAGUCGUAUUCAGGCCGUGGGUGCCCAGUAGGUGGCACUUUUUUUGUUUUUUUGUUUUUUUGUUUCUACUUACAACAAAAUACUUAUUGUUGCUAUAUUUAAUUUUUUCCAUUUUUUGUUUCGUUUUCUGCAUUAUUUAUUUUCUUUUGUUUCUUGUUUUAUUUUUUAAAUCUUUUUGCUUUCUGUUAGUGCCAUUAGUUUUAAAAUUUGAAUAGUUUAAAUUUGGGUGAAUCACUAGUUUAUGAAUAACUUUAAUAUAAAAUUGAUUUUUGAGUCAAUCUUUUUCCUGCUAUUGAAUAUUACUGUUUUUUAUUAUUGUACUCAAUUUGGUAAUUUUAGUUAGUCAUAACAAAUAUUAUAGGCUUUUUUUUGCUAUUUAUUUUUUCAUUUCUACUUAGAACUAAAUACUUAUAGUUUUUUAGUGAUUUUUUUUCUUUUAGGUAACAAAAAUUAUGAACUUCUCUAUUAGUGAACAUAGAUGCACUUAUAGAGAAAAUUAAACCUAAAUUCAUAAUCAAUUUCUAUGAAUUUCGGAGAAAUUCAUUAUGAAUUUUGGUCCAAUUUCCUCUAUAGGUGCAUCUAUUUGCACUUUGAGAGGAGCUCAACAACGCAGAGAGGGAUGGGCUUAUAAACAGGUGUGGGCGCCCUUCGGUUGGCGAGGUGGGACUAAACUACGGGUGCAACGAGGGCCAACCCUUUAGUCCCGGUUUGUGUCACAAACCGGGACUAAUGGUCAUGGGCCAGGGGCGAGCCCUAUUUUUUUUCAGUUUUCAAAUGAACUCUGAAAAAGUUGGCAUAGCAUACUCGUCUGUUACAAAUUUGGCAUGGUAUCAUCAUAAUAGUUGCGUGAGAAAGUCUUCACUUUUUCUUCGCUUGUGUCAUUUGCUUAUUGCGCCAUAACCAUGGAUAAUCUUCAACAUUUAUCAGGAUGCUUGGGUCACCCUUGACAUUGAAGGGAGGAAUUUCAUGAAACCUUUCAUAAUCUUCAGACAUGUCUGUCUUGCCCUCCACUCCCAGGAUGUCCCUUUUUCCUGAAAGAACUAUGUGGCGCUUUGGCUCAUCGUAUGAUGUAUUCGUUUCCUUAUCUUUUCUUUUUCUCGGUCUGGUAGACAUGUCCUUCACAUAGAUAACCUGUGCCACAUCAUUGGCUAGGACGAAUGGUUCGUCAGUGUACCCAAGAUUUUUCAGAUCGACUGUUGUCAUUCCGUACUGUGGGUCUACAUGUACCCCGCCUCCUGACAGAUUGACCCAUUUGCACUUAAACAAAGGGACCUUAAAAUCUUGUCCGUAGUCAAGUUCUCAUAUGUCCACUAUGUAACCAUAAUAUGUGUCCUUUCCCUUCUCGGUUGUUGCAUCAAAGCGGACACCGCUGUUUUGGUUGGUGCUCUUUUGAUCUUGGUUAAAAUGUAUUCCCAUUUAUGUCGUGUCCUUUGUAAAUCAAUACAGUGAAAGAUGGUCCCCUGAACAACAAGUACAACUCAUCACAAACAGUGUUGUCACCUCUGAGACGUGCUUCCAACCAACUGCUGAAAGUCCUAAUGUGUUCACAUGUAAUCCAGUCGUCGCACUGCUCCGGGUGUUUGGAGCGCAGACUGUUCUUGUGUUCAUCGACAUACGGGGUCACCAAGUAGAGUUCUGUAGAACUGUGUAGUGUGCUUGAGACCAAGAAUGCCCGUCCCUGCAUAUUAUUGAGUCCGCUCCUAGCAUGCCUUUUCCAGUCAGUCUCCCCUCAUACCGCGAUUUAGGGAGACCUAUCUUCUUAAGGCCAGGAAUGAAUUCAACACAAAACCCGAUCACAUCCUCUGUUUGAUGGCCCAUAGAGAUGCUUCCUUCUGGCCUAGCGCGGUUACGGACAUAUUUCUUUAGGACUCCCAUGAACCUCUCAAAGGGGAACAUAUUGUGUAGAAAUACGGGCCCCAGAAUGACAAUCUCGUCGACUAGAUGAACUAGGACAUGCGUCAUGAUAUUGAAGAAGGAUGGUGGGAACACCAGCUCAAAACUAACAAGACAUUGCGCCACAUCACUCCUUAGCCUUGGUAUGAUUUCUGGAUCGAUCACCUUCUGAGAGAUUGCAGAGAGGAAUGCACAUAGCUUCACAAUGGCUAAUCGGACGUUUUCCAGUAGAAGCCCCCUCAAUGCAUGCAGAAGCAGUUGCGUCAUAAUCACGUGGCAGUCAUGAGACUUUAGGUUCUGGAACUUUUUCUCUGGGAUAUUUAUUAUUCUCUUUAUAUUUGACGAGAAGCCAGUCAGGACCUUCAUACUGAGCAGGCAUUCAAAGAAGAUUUCUUUCUCUUCUUUCGUAAGAGCGUAGCUGGCAGGACCUUCAUACUGCUUCGGAGGCAUGCCGUCUUUUUCGUGCAAACGUUGCAGGUCCUCCCGUGCCUCAGGUGUAUCUUUUGUCUUUCCAUACACGCCCAAGAAGCCUAGCAGGUUCACGCAAAGGUUCUUCGUCACGUGCAUCACGUCGAUUGAAGAGCGGACCUCUAGGUGUUUCCAGUAGGGUAGGUCCCAAAAUAUAGAUUUCUUCUUCCACAUGGGUGUGUGUCCCUCAGCGUCAUUCGGAACAGCUAGUGCGCCGGGACCCUUUCCAAAGAUUACGUGUAAAUCAUUGACCAUAGCAAGUACGUGAUCAGCGGUACGCAUGGCGGGCUUCUUCUGGUGAUCUGCCUCGCCUUUGAAAUGCUUGCCUUUCUUUCGACAUUGAUGGUUGGUCGGAAGAAAUCGACGAUGGCGCAGGUACACAUUCUUCCUGCAUUUGUCCAGGUAUAUACUUUCAGUGUCAUCUAAACAGUGUGUGCAUGCGUGGUAUCCUUUGUUUGUCUGUCCUGAAAGGUUACUAAGAGCGGGCCAAUCAUUGAUGGUCACGAACUGCAACGCCUAUAGGUUAAAUUCCUCUUGUCUGUGCUCAUCCCACGUACGUACACCGUUUCCAUUCCACAACUGUAAAAGUUCUUCAACUAAUGGCCUUAGGUACACAUCAAUGUCGUUGCCGGGUUGCUUAGGGCCUUGGAUGAGAACUGGCAUCAUAACGAACUUCCACUUCAUGCACAUCCAAGGAGGAAGGUUAUACAUACAUAGAGUCACGGGCCAGGUGCUGUGAUUGUUGCUCUGCUCCCCGAAAGGAUUAAUGCCAUCCGCGCUUAAAGCAAACCAUACGUUCCUUGGGUCCUUUGCACACUCAUCCCAGUACUUUCUCAUGAUUUUUCUCCACUGCGACCCGUCAGCGGGUGCUCUCAACUUCCCGUCUUUCUUACGGUCCUCACUGUGCCAUCGCAUCGACUUGGCAUGCUUUCCGUUUCUGAACAGACAUUUCAACCGUGGUAUUAUAGGAGCAUACCACAUCACCUUCGCAGGAACCCUCUUCCUGUGGGGCUCGCCGUGAACAUCACCAGGGUCAUCUCGUCUGAUCUUAUACCGCAAUGCACCACAUACCGGGCAUGCAUUUAGAUCCUUGUAUGCACCGCGGUAUAGGAUGCAGUCAUUAGGGCAUGCAUGUAUCUUCUCCACCUCCAAUCCUAGAGGGCAUACGACCUUCUUUGCUGCGUAUGUACUGUCGGGCAAUUCGUUAUCCUUUGGAAGCUUCUUCUUCAAUAUUUUUAGUAGCUUCUCAAAUUCUUUGUCAGGCACAGCAUUCUCUGCCUUCCACUGCAGCAAUUCCAGUACGGUACCGAGCUUUGUGUUGCCUUCUUCGCAAUUGGGGUACAACCCUUUUUUGUGAUCCUCUAACAUGCGAUCGAACUUCAGCUUCUCCUUUUGACUUUCGCAUUGCGUCCUUGCAUCGACAAUGACCCGGCGAAGAUCAUCAUCAUCAGGCACAUCGUCUGGUUCCUCUUGAUCUUCAGCAGCUUCACCAGUUGCAGCAUCAUUGGGCACAUCGUCUGGUUCCUCUUGAUCUUCACCAGAUCCCCCCGUUGUAGCAUCACGGUAUUCAGGGGACACGUAGUUGUCAUCAUACUCUUCUUCUUCGUCGUCUUCCAUCAUAACCCCUAUUUCUCCGUGCCUCGUCCAAACAUUAUAGUGUGGCAUGAAACCCUUGUAAAGCAGGUGGGUGUGAAGGAUUUUCCGGUCAGAGUAAGACUUUGUAUUCCCACAAUCAGGGCAUGGACAACACAUAAAACCAUUCUGCUUGUUUGCCUCAGCCGCAUCGAGAAACUCAUGCACGCCCUUAAUGUACUAGGAGGUGUGUCUGUCACCGUACAUCCAUUGCCGGUUCAUCUGCGUGCAUUAUAUAUAAUUAAGUGUCCAAAUUAAUAGAAGUUCAUCAUCACAUUAAAACCAAAGUACAUACAUAGUUCUCAUCUAACAACAGAUAGCUCUCCAGAGCAUCUAAUUAAUUAAACUAUACAUUGAAACUAUGUAAAACAUUUAAAUGCGAAAACAAAGGCGAUCAUAAUCGCAACCAAGGUAACAAUUGAUCCAACAGCAUAAUGAUACCAAGCCUCGGUAUCAAUGGCAUAUUUUCUAAUCUUUCUAAUCUUCAAGCGCAUUUCAUCCAUCUUGAUCUUGUGAUCAUCAACGACAUCCGCAACAUGCAACUCCAAUAUCAUCUUCUCCUCCUCAAUUUUUUUUAUUUUUUCCAUCAAGAAAUUGUUUUCUUCUUCAACUAAAUUUAACCUCUCGACAAUAGGGUCGGUUGGAAUUUCCGGUUCACAUACAUCCUAGAUAAAUAAAAUCUAUGUCACGUUGGUCCGCAUAAUUUUCAUAAACAAUAAAUGAACCAAUAGUUAUAAAGAUUAAUAUAUAUACCACAUCCGAAUCAUAGACAGGACGAGGGCCGACGGGGGCGGAUACCAAAACCAUCGCACUAUAUAAGAUGCAAUAAUAAAAGUAAGAAAAUGAUACAAGUAUCUAUCUAAACAUACAAGUAAGAAUAUUUUUCCUUUCAGAAAGAAGAUAAGAACAAGAGGCUCACCACGGUGGUGUCGGUGAUGAGAUCGGCGCGGGUGAUCUACGGCGGUGAAGACGGGGGUGGGGCGUGAUGGACCGCUAAAUCUAGACAAAUCUCGAGGAAAAUGGAGCUUUGAGGUCGAGCUUUGGGAGGAGAAAGCUUAACUAGUGUGGCUCGGGCAUUUCAUCGAACACCUCAUGUGCAUAGGAGGUGAGGUAGAGCACCACAAACCCCUCCCCUUGCCAGCCCAGAAAAACAGAGCACUGGAGUGCUCUGCUCGCGGGCGAGGGUAUAUAUAGGCACCUCAUUGGUCCCGGUUCGUGGCAUGAACCGGGACUAAAGGCAACCCUUUGGUCCCGGUUCAGGCCACGAACCGGGACCAAUGGUGGUGGGCCAGGAGCCAGGCCCAUUGGUCCUGGUUCGUCCCACCAACCGGGACCAAAAGGUCCAAACGAACAGGGACCAAUGGCCCACGUGGCCCGGCAGCCCCCCUGGUCUCACGAACCGGGUCCAAUGCCCCCAUUGGUCCCGGUUCUAGACUGAACCGGGACUAAUGGGCUGACCCGGCCUGGACCGUUGCCCCCUUUUCUACUAGUGCAAGCAACAAGAGAAAUUACAUAGGCGUGUGAGUGCGCGCGCACGCACACACACGUGCACACAUGCAUGACAUACAUCGAUUGACUAGAGGUCGCCCCAUAUAGUCAACAAUUUAUUGGAGGUAAACAUUAGCAUAACUUGGCCAUAGAUCGAAGCAAUCCAACAUAUGCCGAUGAAUGGCAUCCAUGUUGGUAGCAAUGCAAGCAUAUCGUUUUAGUACAGUCCUUCCAUCUUCGAAGCCACUCGCAUUUCAUCCAUCUUAGCAACCAC